This 326-nucleotide ribosomal RNA is filed under the name uncultured prokaryote. Its description in RNAcentral is "bacterial SSU rRNA". It matches the Rfam family "Bacterial small subunit ribosomal RNA", at positions 26 to 352 of the family's 1533-position model. The record is from RNAcentral.
AGAUUGAACGCUGGCGGCAUGCCUAACACAUGCAAGUCGAGCGGCAGCGCGGGGGCAACCCUGGCGGCGAGCGGCGGACGGGUGAGUAAGGCAUCGGAAUCUGCCCUGAUGUGGGGGAUAACGUAGGGAAACUUACGCUAGAUACCGCAUACGACCGAGAGGUAGAAAGGCGGGGACCGAAGGCCUCGCGCAGCAGGAUGAGCCGAUGUCCGAUUAGCUAGUUGGUGGGGUAACGGCCUACCAAGGCGACGAUCGGUAGCUGGUCUGAGAGGAUGAUCAGCCACACGUGGGACUGAGACACGGCCCAGACUCCGUACGGGAGCAGC